RNAcentral lists this long non-coding RNA (243 nucleotides) under Elaeis guineensis (African oil palm). RNAcentral's name for it is "long non-coding RNA (EGUI_LNC009887)". Lineage: Eukaryota; Viridiplantae; Streptophyta; Magnoliopsida; Arecales; Arecaceae. The record is from RNAcentral.
GUGACCACGGCCACGACAUGAAAGAAUGCAUCCAGCUCCGAGACGAGAUCGAGGAGCUCAUCCGAUGAGGUCGGCUCGACAGAUUCAUUCGACAUCGGCCUGAGGGUAGAGAAGAUCGGCCAAGGGCCCUGCCGCAGCCUGAGCCGCCAAGGAGGGAAGAGCAGCCCGGAUAUCGACCUCCAAUCGGGAUCAUCAACUCCGUCUCUGGAGGACCCCGACAGGGAGCAGACCUUCCACAGUGCU